This 813-nucleotide ribosomal RNA is filed under the name uncultured bacterium. RNAcentral's name for it is "bacterial SSU rRNA". It matches the Rfam family "Bacterial small subunit ribosomal RNA", at positions 47 to 841 of the family's 1533-position model. The record is from RNAcentral.
CCUAACACAUGCAAGUCGAACGUGAUUGAGAGCUUGCUCUCAUGAAAGUGGCGCACGGGUGAGUAACGCGUAGAUAAUCUGCCUGGUGAUCCGGGACAACACUUCGAAAGGGGUGCUAAUACCUGAUAAGCCCACGGAGUCUUCGGAUUCUGCGGGAAAAGGGGGGGACCUUAGGGCCUUCUGUCACCAGAUGAGUCUGCGUACCAUUAGCUAGUUGGUAGGGUAAAGGCCUACCAAGGCUACGAUGGUUAGCUGGUCUGAGAGGAUGAUCAGCCACACUGGAACUGAGACACGGUCCAGACUCCUACGGGAGGCAGCAGUGGGGAAUUUUGCGCAAUGGGGGAAACCCUGACGCAGCAACGCCGCGUGAGUGAUGAAGGCCCUUGGGUCGUAAAGCUCUGACAGAGGGAAAGAAAUGUGGGUGGCUAAUAUCCAUACCACUUGACGGUACCCUCAAAGGAAGCACCGGCUAACUCCGUGCCAGCAGCCGCGGUAAUACGGGGGGUGCAAGCGUUGUUCGGAUUUAUUGGGCGUAAAGCGCGUGUAGGCGGUUUUAUAAGUCUGAUGUGAAAGCCCUGGGCUCAACCUGGGAAGUGCAUUGGAUACUGUAGGACUUGAAUACGGGAGAGGGGAGUGGAAUUCCUGGUGUAGGAGUGAAAUCCGUAGAUAUCAGGAGGAACACCGGUGGCGAAGGCGGCUCCCUKGGAYCGAUAUUUGACGCUGAGACGCGAAAGCGUGGGUAGCAACAGGAUUAGAUACCCUGGUAGUCCACGCCGUAACGAUGAGAACUAGGUGUUGCGGUAUGACYCCUGC